AACCAAAAGUUAAAUCAAACUUGUAAAUGGUAGUUGCAUGAAAAUUACGUACAAAUUUGGAUCAAAUGUGUCAUUUCCAACAAUCAGCCCAUUUAAACAAAACAAGUAUUUACAAACAUCUAUCAAUUCUAUAAAGCAAUACAUAUUGGAGCCUCCAUAGUGAUUCUCUCUCCUACAUGUUCGGCGCUGGCCAUACUCCAUCCGCCGCCCGCCAAUCGAUCCACCCCAAUCUCGCUGCUCCUAUCUCUGCAUCAUGCCUCAAUCGCGUAACAUCCCGCCCCUACUCUAACUCUUCUUCGCAGGUGCGUCAAUUUUCCUGGUUAUUGAUUUCAUUUUUCCUGUGACGUAGAAAUGGACUAUCAAUUUCGUCCGAGUUUCAAACUAUUUUGUCUUGAUUGUAAUGCUCAGCUGCUAACCAUGUAUAAGAAAGAGAGAUCUGGUUGAGUGAUGCUUGUGUAUUGUAAUGCCAUUAUUCCUACAUUUUUGUUCUGCCUUAAGUCUUCUAUCAAAUGAUUUUGUAUUAUGUAUUUAACUCGAGCAAACUGAAAAAUAUAACAGAAGUAUGUUGUCAAUUUCUUUGAAGGCCCUUACUUAUGCAUAACGACUCUUUGGAUUUCAUCAAGUUAAAAUUGCCUUGAUUGGCAUCCAUGCUGGAAGCACUGGUCUUAACUUAAUGUCAGCAUAAUUGAAAGUCAAAGUGCGUCUUAAUCUUCAUGGUAUUGUAUCUGUUGAAUCAGCAACGGUAAGCUCUCAGCUCUUUUUGAUGAAUUUUAUUUCUUAUGCUUACUGCUGAGUAGUGGGGUUUCUUUAGCGAAUUACUCUAAGAGCAAACUUAUGGUGAUAAGAUAAUAACUUUAUCUGAGAAUGGAUUGGCUCUUUGCUUGCUCUGCUGCUCUUGAGGUUUGCUAUUUGACUAUAUUUGGAAACGCUCGUGUGCGUGUGUGUUGUUCUUUUUCAUGUGAUGAAUCAUAACUCAAUGCUUAUGAGAUGAGAUUAUCUCGGUUGUGUAUAUAUUAGUUAUAAAUUUAGGUGGAUAUAUCAUAUAUGGGUUAUUCGCCUCUUUGUUAUUGCUGUCGUCGUCGUUGUUAUGGUGGGUCGGCCGUGCUGAUUGACGCGGG
This 1118-nucleotide long non-coding RNA is filed under the name Salvia miltiorrhiza (redroot sage). RNAcentral's name for it is "long non-coding RNA (SMIL_LNC004969)". The record is from RNAcentral. Lineage: Eukaryota; Viridiplantae; Streptophyta; Magnoliopsida; Lamiales; Lamiaceae.